Molecule: ribosomal RNA, 273 nt
Filed under: uncultured bacterium
Lineage: Bacteria
Description: partial 16S ribosomal RNA
Rfam family: Bacterial small subunit ribosomal RNA
Source: RNAcentral
UACGAAUGGGGCUAGCGUUGUUCGUAAUUACUGGGCGUAAAGCGCACGUAGGCGGAUAUUUAAGUCAGGGGUGCAAUCCCGCAGCUCAACUGCGGAACUGCCUUUGAUACUGGGUAUCGCGAUUAUGGAAGAGGUGAGUGGAAGUCCGAGUGUAGAGGUGAAAGUCGUAGAUAUUCGGAGGACCACCAGUGGCGAAGGCGGCUCAAUGGUCCAUUACUGACGCGGAGGUGCGCAAGCGUUGGGAGCACACAGGAGGCGAUAACAGUGGAGUCC